This 374-nucleotide ribosomal RNA is filed under the name uncultured bacterium. RNAcentral's name for it is "bacterial SSU rRNA". It matches the Rfam family "Bacterial small subunit ribosomal RNA", at positions 527 to 898 of the family's 1533-position model. The record is from RNAcentral.
GUAGGGCGCGAGCGUUGUCCGGAUUUAUUGGGCGUAAAGAGCUCGUAGGCGGCUUGUCGCGUCGACUGUGAAAACCCGCGGCUCAACUGCGGGCUUGCAGCCGAUACGGGCAGGCUAGAGUUCGGUAGGGGAGACUGGAAUUCCUGGUGUAGCGGUGAAAUGCGCAGAUAUCAGGAGGAACACCGGUGGCGAAGGCGGGUCUCUGGGCCGAUACUGACGCUGAGGAGCGAAAGCGUGGGGAGCGAACAGGAUUAGAUACCCUGGUAGUCCACGCUGUAAACGUUGGGCGCUAGGUGUGGGGGGCCUCUCCGGUUCUCUGUGCCGCAGCUAACGCAUUAAGCGCCCCGCCUGGGGAGUACGGCCGCAAGGCUAAA